CGAAUUUACCACCUAUCAGGUAUUGAAGGUAGUGUAGUGGACUACCUUGCCUCUGACGGGUAACGGGGGAUUGGGGUUCGAUUCCGGAGAGGGUGCCUGAGAGACGGCAACCAUGACUAUGGUCACUAUUGGAGGGCAAGUCUGGUGCCAGCAGCCGCGGUAAUUCCAGCUCCAAGAGCGUAUAUAAAUGUUGUUGCGGUUAAAAAGCCCGUAGUUGGAUUUGAGGAUGCUUCUUGUAUUCGACAUGUUGAAGGGGUUUCCUGGAUAUGUGUCGAGUACGCUUCGGAGGUAUCCUGACAUAUGCGGGAUUGUCCACUGGCCGAAGCUUCCUUAACUGGUAGCUGAAGCAACUUCGGAGCUUCCUCGCCGGGAUCAAUAGGAGCACAGGGGGUCAUGAGUACUGGAGGGCUAGAGGUGAAAUUCCAAGACCCCUCCAAGACUGACAUCGGCGAAAGCACUCGACUAUUGUGCUUUCAUUAAUCAAGGACGAGAGAUAGGGGAUCGAAGAGGAUUAGACACCCUCGUAGUCCUUUCUGUAAAUUCUGCAGACUUGGGAUCGGUCAGCGUUCUACUUUUUGACCUGAUCGGCACCUUCCUCCGACAUCGAGAAAUCAAAGUCUUUGUGUUCCGGGGGGAGUACAUUCGCAAGGCUGAAACUUAAAGGAAUUGACGGAGAACCACCACCAGUCGUGGAGUGUGUGGCUUAAUUCGACUCAACACGGGAAAUUUUACCAGGCCAGGACGUGGCGAGGAUUGCCAGAUUGAAAGCUCUUGCAUGAUUCCGCGGAGGGUAGUGCAUGGCCGCUUCUGGUUGGUGAAGUGAUUUGUCUGCUUAAUUGCGAUAACGAACGAGAUCUCUGCCAAUUACUAGACAGCGCGUUCACUUUUCAGUCGGAAGCUUGGGUGUGGGUUCGCCCAUCCUCCAGCUCUCCGGUUGAGAACGAGCUGCUUUACUUAUUGGGAUUAUGCAUUUUUCAACUGCAUUGAAACGAGAGCCCAAAGCAGGUCUGUGAUGCUCCUAAAUGUUCUGGGCUGCACGCGCACUACACUGAUUCAGCCAACGAGCAUCUGCCUUCAUGGCAGCCUGGGCCGAACGGUCUGGGGAAUCUUUUGAGCCUGAGUCGUGAUGGGGAUUGAUGAUUGCAAUUAUUCUCCAUGAACAAGGAAUGUCUUGUAGGCGCGUUUCAUCAGAACGCACCGAAUACGUCCCUGGUUCUUGUACACACCGCCCGUCGUUGC
Molecule: ribosomal RNA, 1239 nt
Filed under: uncultured soil eukaryote
Lineage: Eukaryota
Description: SSU rRNA
Rfam family: Eukaryotic small subunit ribosomal RNA
Source: RNAcentral